RNAcentral lists this ribosomal RNA (502 nucleotides) under uncultured bacterium. RNAcentral describes it as "bacterial SSU rRNA". It matches the Rfam family "Bacterial small subunit ribosomal RNA", at positions 772 to 1280 of the family's 1533-position model. The record is from RNAcentral.
ACUGAAUAGAUACCCAGGUAGUCCACGCCGUAAACGAUGGAUACUAGCUGUUCGGAGCAAAUCUGAGUGGCUAAAGCGAAAGUGAUAAGUAUCCCACCCGGGGAGUACGCACGCAAGUGUGAAACUCAAAGGAAUUGACGGGGGCCCGCACAAGCGGUGGAGCAUGUGGUUUAAUUCGAUGAUACGCGAGGAACCUUACCAGGGCUUAAAUGUAGAUUGACAGGACUGGAAACAGUUUUUUCUUCGGACAAUUUACAAGGUGCUGCAUGGUUGUCGUCAGCUCGUGCCGUGAGGUGUCAGGUUAAGUCCUAUAACGAGCGCAACCCCUGUCGUUAGUUGCCAGCGAGUCAUGUCGGGAACUCUAACGAGACUGCCAGUGUAAACUGUGAGGAAGGUGGGGAUGACGUCAAAUCAUCACGGCCCUUACGUCCUGGGCCACACACGUGCUACAAUGGUAGGUACAGAGAGCAGCCACUGCGCGAGCAGGAGCGAAUCUACAAAA